RNAcentral lists this ribosomal RNA (468 nucleotides) under uncultured bacterium. RNAcentral describes it as "partial 16S ribosomal RNA". It matches the Rfam family "Bacterial small subunit ribosomal RNA", at positions 28 to 507 of the family's 1533-position model. The record is from RNAcentral.
GACGAACGCUGGCGGCGUGCUUAACACAUGCAAGUCGAACGGAAAGGCCCUGCUUUUGUGGGGUGCUCGAGUGGCGAACGGGUGAGUAACACGUGAGUAACCUGCCCCUGACUUUGGGAUAACUUCAGGAAACUGGGGCUAAUACCGGAUAGGAGCUCCUGCUGCAUGGUGGGGGUUGGAAAGUUUCGGCGGUUGGGGAUGGACUCGCGGCUUAUCAGCUUGUUGGUGGGGUAGUGGCUUACCAAGGCUUUGACGGGUAGCCGGCCUGAGAGGGUGACCGGCCACAUUGGGACUGAGAUACGGCCCAGACUCCUACGGGAGGCAGCAGCGGGGAAUAUUGCACAAUGGGCGGAAGCCUGAUGCAGCAACGCCGCGUGCGGGAUGACGGCCUUCGGGUUGUAAACCGCUUUCGCCUGUGACGAAGCGUGAGUGACGGUAAUGGGUAAAGAAGCACCGGCUAACUACGUG